GAUGAACGCUGGCGGCGUGCCUAAUACAUGCAAGUCGAGCGAACAGACGAGGAGCUUGCUCCUCUGACGUUAGCGGCGGACGGGUGAGUAACACGUGGAUAACCUACCUCUAAGACUGGGCUACCUUCGGGAAACCGGAGCUCAUACCGGAUAAUAUAUUGAACCGCAUGGUUCAAUAGUGAAAGACGGUUUUGCUGUCACUUAUAGAUGGAUCCGCGCCGCAUUAGCUAGUUGGUAAGGUAACGGCUUACCAAGGCAACGAUGCGUAGCCGACCUGAGAGGGUGAACGGCCACACUGGAACUGAGACACGGUCCAGACUCCUACGGGAGGCAGCAGUAGGGAAUCUUCCGCAAUGGGCGAAAGCCUGACGGAGCAACGCCGCGUGAGUGAUGAAGGUCUUCGGAUCGUAAAACUCUGUUAUUAGGGAAGAACAAAUGUGUAAGUAACUAUGCACGUCUUGACGGUACCUAAUCAGAAAGCCACGGCUAACUACGUG
This 497-nucleotide ribosomal RNA is filed under the name uncultured bacterium. Its description in RNAcentral is "partial 16S ribosomal RNA". It matches the Rfam family "Bacterial small subunit ribosomal RNA", at positions 28 to 507 of the family's 1533-position model. The record is from RNAcentral.